GAUGAACGCUGGCGGCGUGCCUAAUACAUGCAAGUCGAGCGAACGGACGAGAAGCUUGCUUCUCUGAUGUUAGCGGCGGACGGGUGAGUAACACGUGGAUAACCUACCUAUAAGACUGGGAUAACUUCGGGAAACCGGAGCUAAUACUGGAUAAUAUUUUGAACCGCAUGGUUCAAAAGUAAAAGACGGUCUUGCUGUCACUUAUAGAUGGAUCCGCGCUGCAUUAGCUAGUUGGUAAGGUAACGGCUUACCAAGGCAACGAUGCAUAGCCGACCUGAGAGGGUGAUCGGCCACACUGGAACUGAGACACGGUCCAGACUCCUACGGGAGGCAGCAGUAGGGAAUCUUCCGCAAUGGGCGAAAGCCUGACGGAGCAACGCCGCGUGAGUGAUGAAGGUCUUCGGAUCGUAAAACUCUGUUAUUAGGGAAGAACAUAUGUGUAAGUAACUGUGCACAUCUUGACGGUACCUAAUCAGAAAGCCACGGCUAACUACGUG
This 497-nucleotide ribosomal RNA is filed under the name uncultured bacterium. RNAcentral's name for it is "partial 16S ribosomal RNA". It matches the Rfam family "Bacterial small subunit ribosomal RNA", at positions 28 to 507 of the family's 1533-position model. The record is from RNAcentral.